This 76-nucleotide transfer RNA is filed under the name Oryza glaberrima (African rice). RNAcentral's name for it is "tRNA EPlOGLG00000000617". It matches the Rfam family "tRNA". Rfam says of the family: Transfer RNA (tRNA) molecules are approximately 80 nucleotides in length. The record is from RNAcentral. Lineage: Eukaryota; Viridiplantae; Streptophyta; Magnoliopsida; Poales; Poaceae.
GUCAAGAUGGCCGAGUUGGUCUAAGGCGCCAGUUUGGCAAAUUUCAUUGGCAUGGGUUCGAAUCCCAUUCUUGACA